Molecule: ribosomal RNA, 618 nt
Filed under: uncultured Actinomycetes bacterium
Lineage: Bacteria; Bacillati; Actinomycetota; Actinomycetes
Description: bacterial SSU rRNA
Rfam family: Bacterial small subunit ribosomal RNA
Source: RNAcentral
UACUCGAGUGGCGAACGGGUGAGUAACACGUGGGUGAUCUGCCCUGCACUUCGGGAUAAGCCUGGGAAACUGGGUCUAAUACCGGAUAGGAGCCAUUUUUAGUGUGAUGGUUGGAAAGUUUUUUCGGUGUAGGAUGAGCUCGCGGCCUAUCAGCUUGUUGGUGGGGUAAUGGCCUACCAAGGCGGCGACGGGUAGCCGGCCUGAGAGGGUGGACGGCCACAUUGGGACUGAGAUACGGCCCAGACUCCUACGGGAGGCAGCAGUGGGGAAUAUUGCACAAUGGGCGCAAGCCUGAUGCAGCGACGCCGCGUGGGGGAUGACGGCCUUCGGGUUGUAAACUCCUUCGCUAGGGACGAAGCUUUUUGUGACGGUACCUAGAUAAGAAGCACCGGCUAACUACGUGCCAGCAGCCGCGGUAAUACGUAGGGUGCGAGCGUUGUCCGGAAUUACUGGGCGUAAAGGGCUCGUAGGUGGUUUGUCGCGUCGUCUGUGAAAUUCCGGGGCUUAACUCCGGGCGUGCAGGCGAUACGGGCAUAACUUGAGUACUGUAGGGGUAACUGGAAUUCCUGGUGUAGCGGUGAAAUGCGCAGAUAUCAGGAGGAACACCGAUGGCGAAGG